GGAGCUGCGCUGCGAGGAGCCCCCGCGUGUCCGCCAUAUUGGUGCCCGCGCCGCAGCCGCUGCGCCUUGUUCCUCCAUCUCCUCCCGGCGCGGCCUAGCGGAGCCCGACGGGGGAGGGAACGUCGGCGCCGCCGGGCGGGAAGUGGGGGCGAGGAGACCGCGCGCCGCGGGGAGGAGACGGAAACGAGCGGGGCCCGCGUCCCUCCGCGCCCGCCCCCUGCGCCACCCGCCAUGGCGAGGAGGCCCGGCGGCUCCUGAGCGCGGCGCGCACGCACAGAGCGAGCCGAGCCCCGGCCCGGCCGCCAUCAGCGGAGAGAAGCCUCCCGGCUCCCACCUCGGCCGCGACAUGGAGGCCGUGAAGGCCUUUAACAGCGAGUGUGGUGAUGUAGAUAUUUUGUUGUACUCGCUGAAUGAUUAUAAGCCACCCAUUUCUAAAGCUAAAAUGACACAGAUCACCAAGGCAGCAAUCAAGGCUAUAAAGUUCUACAAGCAUGUUGUGCAGAGUGUUGAGAAAUUCAUUCAAAAGUGCAAACCAGAAUACAAGGUGCCUGGUCUGUAUGUCAUUGACUCGAUUGUGAGACAGUCCCGGCAUCAGUUUGGACAAGAGAAGGAUGUAUUUGCUCCAAGAUUCAGCAAUAACAUCAUCAGCACUUUUCAGAACUUGUAUCGUUGUCCUGGGGAUGACAAGAGUAAAAUUGUUAGAGUGCUAAACUUAUGGCAGAAGAAUAACGUGUUCAAGAGUGAAAUUAUUCAGCCUCUCUUGGAUAUGGCAGCAGGAAUUCCUCCACCAGUUGUGACCCCCGUCUUGCCCAGCACUGCUGCUGCUAUGAGCAACAAUACACCAGGAACACCUGUGACUCCAGUUACUCCUGCCAAUGUGGUGCAAAGUUUACCUGAUCCUUGGGUGUCUCAGAUUGCUAAUACAGAUACGCUUGCUGCUGUAGCCCAGAUUUUACAGAGUCCCCAAGGCCAACAGCUUCAGCAGUUGAUACAAACGCUGCAGAUACAGCAGCAGAAACCUCAGCCUUCACUACUUCAAGCCCUGGAUGCUGGUCUUGUCGUUCAGUUACAGGCCCUAACUGCACAACUUACAGCUGCAGCUGCUGCUGCCAAUACACUUAAUCCGUUGGAACAGAGUGUCUCUUUUAAUAAGAAGCUGAUGGACAGGUUUGACUUUGGGGAAGAAUCUGAACAAAAUGAAGAGCCUAAAAAGGAAACUCCCACUUCCCAACUGCCUUUAGUACCAGAAUCUGUGAACAACUCACUUUUUCACCAACUAGCUGAACAACUGCAGCAACAAAAUUUAGAACAUCUCAGACAACAACUUCUGGAGCAACAGCAGCCUCAAAAGGCAAGCCCUGAGGAAAAUCAGGAAGGGAAUUUUGGUUCAGAGCACUCUGCAUCACCAUCACAAGGGAGCAGUCAACAGCAGUUUUUAGAAGCAGAAACAAAUGUAGAUGAUUCAAUGGAUAUUCAACAACAGGAUAUGGACAUAGAUGAAGGACAGGAUGUUGCUGAAGAAGAGAUUUUUGAACAAGAAGAAAAGAAAUCUGCUGUUCGUUCAAGAUCAAGAACGCGUUCAAGAUCUCGUUCAAGGUCACCAAGAAAACGAAGGUCUAGAUCACGAUCUGGUUCUCGUAAGCGUAAACACAGAAAACGUUCACGCUCAAGAUCAAGAGAAAGGAAGAGAAAGUCAUCUCGGUCCUACUCCAGUGAAAGAAGGGCUAGGGAAAGGGAAAAAGAACGUCAGAAAAAGGGAUUGCCUCCAAUACGGUCAAAAACACUAAGUGUUUGCAGCACUACUCUUUGGGUAGGCCAAGUAGACAAGAAGGCUACACAGCAAGAUUUGACCAACUUAUUUGAAGAAUUUGGACAAAUAGAAUCUAUUAAUAUGAUUCCCCCAAGAGGUUGUGCGUAUGUCUGCAUGGUUCAUAGACAAGAUGCAUAUCGUGCUCUUCAGAAGCUUAGUUCUGGGUCCUACAAAAUCGGAUCUAAAAUUAUUAAGAUUGCCUGGGCUUUAAAUAAAGGUGUAAAAACAGAGUAUAAGCAAUUCUGGGAUGUGGAUCUGGGAGUUUCAUAUAUUCCUUGGGAGAAGGUAAAAUUGGAUGAUUUGGAGGGCUUUGCUGAGGGUGGCAUGAUUGACCAGGAGACAGUAAAUACAGAAUGGGAAACAGCGAGGAGCUCAGAACCUGCUAAAGAAAAUAUUCAAACUACGCAGAGUACUGCAGUUGAUAAGAGCACAGUGAUUACAACGCAGACGGAAGCUUACACACAACCGGUCACUAUGCUACAGAUUCCAGUAGCUCCAGCUGUGCCUGCUGUUAGCUUAGUUCCACCUGCAUUUCCUGUCACAAUGUCUGUCCCUCCUCCUGGUUAUAGUGCCAUUCCUCCUCCACCCUUCUUGCGAGCAAGUUUCAAUCCUUCACAGCCACCUCCAGGUUUUAUGCCUCCCCCAGUUCCUCCUGUUGUCCCUCCUCCUGUUGUGCCACCACCUGUUGUACCACCAGUUGUUCCAACAUCUUUAGUACAGCCUCCAUUGCCAAUUACUCAAGAGACGAUGAAGGAUGUACCUUUUACUGGCCUGGUUCUACCAGUUGUUGGCACAGUUAGUAGCAAUCUAGCCACUCCAACGUUAUCUUCUGGAAGCAUCUUUAAUCCUUUGCCAAUCAACAAACAAGAAUCUGAUGAAAAGGGAUCUCAUCUUACAGACCUUCAGAUUUCUUCCAGUGAAAAUGGUAGAGCUGUGCAAAGUGAUGUCUCGAGUAGCUCUGGACUUGUUGGAGGAGUGCAACCACCCAGUGUCUCAAGCAGUUCUGGGCUUCCUGGAGAAGGCCAGCCACCCAGUGUCUCAAGUAGCUCUGGACUUGCAGGGGGAGUGCAGCCACCCAGUGUCUCAAGCAGCUCUGGACUUGGAGGAGGAGUGCAACCACCAACUGUUUCAAGCAGUUCUGGUCUUGCAGGAGGAGUGCAACUACCCACUGUAUCCAGUAGCUCUUCUCUUGCAGGAGGAGUUCAGCCAACCAGCGUCUCGAGCAGCUCUGGACUUAUGGCUGGAGUGCAACCACCAAAUGUCUCAAGUAGCUCAGGGCUUCUAGCUGGAGUGCAUCCACCCAAUAUCUCAAGCAGCCCUGGCCUUCUACCAGGAAUGCAGCCUCCCAAUGUUUCAAGUAGCUCAGGAGUUCUGGCAGGAGUACAGCCACCAAGUGUCUCAAACAACUCUGGUCUUCUCCUAAUGCCACCACCGAAUGUUUCAAGUAGUUCUGGACUUAUGGGAGUGCCACCACCAAAUAUGUCAAGUAAUUCUGGACUUAUGGCAAUGCAGCACCCAGCUGGCAUUCAAAAUAUGCCUCAUUUAAAUAUUAGUAGUCAAAGGAUGCCAGGAAUGCCUCUCAUAGAUAUCCGUCCAGGCCUAAUGCCCCAUUCACCUGGACCAAGGUUUCCGUUAAUGCAGCCAGGAUUACCACCACAGCGUAGUAUUCCUCCUCCAGCAAUCCUUGAUCCAUCUCUUCACCCUCCGCCCCGAGGUCCUUUUCCUCCAGGAGAUAUUUUUAAUCAAACAGAAAGACCUUUUGCAACACCAGGAAGACAAAACAUUGAUAGCAUUUCUAAUCCAGAGAAAAGGCUACCACUUGGAGGCGAUAAUAUUCAGCAGGAGGGAGACAGAGAUUAUCGCUUUCCUCCAGUGGAAAACCGAGAUAAUCUCAACAGACCAUCCCAAGUGGAUGUCAGAGAUUCUGUUGGACGACCGCCAGUUGAUCCAAGAGAGGGCAUAGGAAGACCUCCAGUAGAUGGAAGAGAACAUUUUGCAAGACCUCAUGUAGACAUGAGAGAAAAUUUUGGAAGACCAAGUAUAGAUAAUCUUGGUCGAAGAGAGCAUUUUGCUUUCAAUUCGGAUAAGCACUGGGGACAAAGAGGAGAUUAUGAUGAAAGAGAGCACCAUGCCUUUCCUGUUUAUGGUGGCCCUAAAGGCUUCCAUGAGGACAGAGAGAGAUUUCGGCAUAUAAACUAUAGGUUUGAUAGUAGAAGUGGUCCCAGCUGGAAUAGAGGAUUUGAACAAGAUGCUCACAGAGAUUUUGAUGACCGCAGAAGACCCUGGGAAAGGCAGAGGGACAGGGAUGACAGAGAUUUUAACUUCUGCAGAGAAAUUAAUGGGAACAGGUUUGGAAGAGACAGAAUGUCAAACAACUGGAUCCCCCCUCCACACCCACGGGUUUUUGAAUAUUUUGAUGGGGCCACUUCCCAACGCAAAGCGGAUAAUUUGCCCCAGGUAAACGGUGAAAAUACAGAGACAGAAAGUCAACCACCAACUGCACAGGUGCAGGACGAUCCCGAACUUUAUGAAAAACUGACUUCUUCCGUCGAGAUAAACAAAGAGAAGAGUGACACAGAAGCUGAUAUAGAAAGUGAACCAGUGGUAGAAAGCACAGAAACUGAGGGGACAUAAUCAUCACUCAGUAGAAAUCAGGGGGCUUUGUGUUUUGGUGGCUUAAUACUGAAGCAGAAAAUCUUGUUAAAUUGCUGAGAGGAAUUGGCUGCUUAGGUAAAUGAGUAGCACUAUUCUCUCUUAUUUCAUGUACUUUGCUGCUUAUGUCCUUCAAAUUGGUGGCGGAAGAUUUAAUACUGUAAGAUUUUCAAUAUGUUUCACUGAAGUGCAUUCCACCAACUUCUUUUAACGUAACUUUUGUUAAAAUUCUGUCUGGAAGCAUUUCACGUAGCUUUGAGGAAGUUGUUUUUCUCUUGCAUAGUAGUAUCAGAGAGGUAGAUUCUGUUAUAUGAAUGCCCCUUUUCUAGAAGAAAUGUUUUUAGCUCAGAUUAGAAUUUUGAUCUUUACUGUUAAAGUGUAGACAUGCAAGUUUUAAUUCCCCGUCCCUUUCUCCCAAAGGGAUGAUAGUAUGGGAGUGUCAUGUGAGUGUCAAGUACAAGCAAGAUUUUGAGAGCAGAAUCAAGUUAUACAUGUGUUUCUUGCCAUUUUCCUCUGGUACAUGGGUUACUUCUUCAUGCUGUGACAUGGUUCAGUUUUUCAAUUAUAGGGAUUUUUAUUCUGGACAGUAAAGAGCCAGCUUAAUGAAGGUAAUCAUUCGAAAGAGUGGACAUGAAUGAUUCUUUUUCUACUAUGCAAGUAGUAGUCAUUAGGGUGUAGUGAGGUGUGAAUUAAAUAAUUAUUGCUUUGUAAUAGACCUUGCUGAUAUGUUUAUUACCAGAACAUGUCUUCCAAUUUGAGGUGAACAAUAUUUAAAGUGGAAGUACUUUCACGUGCAGUCUCUAUGGCUCAAAGAAGUUGCUUGAUAGUGCUGCGCAACCUAGUAGUAGUAUUCAGGUCUGGCAGAUAUGGUUCUGGAAGUCCAAACACGUGAAACAGGUGUGAGGGCACUUUGUAUAUUUAAGGGAUUUUCUUUUUUUGUUUUUAUAUUGCAGACUGAAAAUACUUCAGCCACAGACCGUGUAAAUUCUCAGAAUCAAACACAUAUUGGCAGUAGCUUUUGUUUACAAAUGUUUUGUUAAAUGCUUUUUUAAAACAAAAAGUUAAUCUGAUUUUCUAAACUGAGACCUACAGUAUGCUAAAUUACUCAUAGUAUGAUGGUAUAGGUAAAUUGCUAGGUAGGGAGUUUAAAUAAUUCAACUAGUAGUGGUAUAAAACAAUGUAUUAUUUAAUGACUUCUCAUCUUUGUUAAUAUCUUUUAAACGUUAAUAAAUUGGCUACUGUACAUAUGUGUUAUACCAUCAAUUUCUAACAGCAUUUUUUUCUAGAAUAAAAUUUUAUUGUACAGUUUUCAGUUGCAUCUUGUUUACAGCUAGAACUGUUUCAUUUCUUAUUUUACUGAUCUGGGGUGCAGAUGAAUAUUACUAGAAGAACAACGUUCAGUAAUACUAGCAAACAUAGUAUGUUCUCUUUAACUUGCCAGUGAAAAAGUUUGAGCAAAGACUUUCUCAUUUUAGAUUAAGCCAUGAAAAACCAACAUUUGCCUUGAAAGGAGCUGUCCUAGCAUUCAACACUUUGACGUAGUUAGCAAUAGUGUUGUACUUUUUGCUAACACAAGGGAAAGAGUAAGAAAGGGACAUAGAGAAAAUAGGGGCCAGGCUUCUGGGGAACAGUUCUUAUGUAUACCAGUUUAAAGCCUUCUACCAUGACAAAAGCUGCCCGUUCUAGCAACUUAAAGCAGCUGAUCCAUACUUUGUCUUUUUAUUUACAAAAAUGACACACACAUACACACACACAUAUAUAUAUGUAUAUAUGAAUACUCCAAGUAGCUCUGCAGACAACACAAAUAAUAUGCUUGAGCAUGCACAUCUACAUGAAAACCUCACGCGUUAGUAAAUUGUUUAAUGUAUUUUUACCCUUUCAAACAGUCUGUGAUUCUGACUUCACUGUACAGUACUUGAGCAUAAUGCUACGUUCAUUAAGAUUAUAAAGAUGAAACAUAGCCUUUAUUUACUAUAAUGACACAAUCUCUUUUCUGAAGAUAUAUUCUGUGAAAUAUUGGUACACUUUCAUUUUUAUACACAGUGCUCCACAUUGUUACUGCAAACUCAAGGGAAUAGAUUGCGAGAUUCCUUCACUUUAGUAGAGUAAUAUACCACCCUUCAAGCCAUGUCAAUGAUUUAAAUUGCUUUACUUAUGAAAAUGCCUUGAAUAAGGCAAUACAAGACUGCUGUAAUCAAGCCUACAGUGUGGAAUGAUUAGACUUUGCUUAAGCACUACUGGAAGACUGUCAAAUAAAUUGUCUAUAGAAGAUAUUUGUAAAAUAAGCCAAUUUAUUGCAGAGAUCUCUCAAAACAGUGUAAGCAGUUUUGAGCAUGUCCAGGGGUACGUUAUGGCAGUCUUCAUAGAAUCACAGAAUUAUUUGGUCUGGAAGGGACCUGAAAAGAUGAUCUAGUCCAACUCCCUUGCAGUGCGCAGGGAAACCUUUCACUAGAUCAGAUUUUACUAUGUAAAGUCUCAUCCAGCCUUACCUUAUGCGCUUCCAGGGAUGGGGUAUCUGCAACUUUUCUGGGCAACCUGUUCCAGUAUCUACCAGUUUCAUAGUGAAGAAUUUCUUCCUUACAUCAAAUCUAAAUGUGUCCUCUUUUAAUUUAAAGCCAUUACCUUUGUCAUAUCACUACACUCCUUGAUAAGGCAUCUCUUCUUAUCUUUCUUGGAAGCCCUCUUUAAGUAUUAGAAGACUGCAUUAAGGUAUAUAUUACUUCCCUAGAGCCUUCUUUUUUCUAGGCUGAACAACCCCAACUCUCACAGCCUUUCUUCAUAGAAGAGGUGUUUCAGCCCUCUGCUCAUCUUUGUGAUCCUCCUCUGGACCUGCUCCAGCAGAUCCAUGUCUCUCGUGUUGGGGUCCCUGGAGCUGAACACAGUGCCUCCAGGUGAUGUCUGACAGCAGUGGAGUAGAGAAGGUCAGACAGUCAGUCAUGUCACUUGAUCUUCUGGCUUCUCUGCUUUUAAUGUAGCCCAGGAUACAAUUGGCUUUCUGGGCUGCAAGCACAAAUCGCUGGUUCAUGUGAAGAUUUUCAUCCACCAGUACCCCCACAUAAUUCUCUUUAGGGCUGUUAAUAACACGUUCAUCAGCCACUCUGUACUGAUGUUUUAGAUUGCCCCAGCCCAGGUGCAGCAGCUUGCACUUGUCCCUGUUGAACUACAUGAGGUUCUCAUGGGCCCAUUUCUCAAGCCUGUCCAGGUCCCUGUGGUUUGCAUCCCUUCUCUCUAAGGUAUUACCAGCAUCGCUCAGCUUGGUGUCACCCACAAACUUGCUGAGAGUGGAUUCAGUGCCACUGUCCAUGUCAACAAUGGAGAUAUUAAAUAGUAUCAGUCCUCAUAUAGUCCACUGAGGGACACUACCUGUCAUUGGUCUCCUCCUUGUGGGCAUAGAGCUAUUGACUAUAACUCUUGGAAUGUGACCAUUCAGCCAAUUAUUUAGCCAUGAAAUAGUCCUUCAAUUAAAUCCAUGUCUGUCUAAUUUGGAGAUGAGAAUGUUGCGUGGAAUCAUAUCACGGUCUUUGCACAAGUCAAGGUAGAUGACAUCAGUUGCUCUUCCCUUUAUCCAUCAGUGCUGUCACUGGCACAGAAGGCCACCAAAUUAGGCAUGCAUGAUUUGCCCUUUUUGAAGCUAUAUUGGCCAUCUCCAAUCACCUCCCUGUCUUCUGUAUGCCUUAACGUGGUUUCCAGGAAGAUCUACUUCAUGAUCUUACUGAGCAUUGAUGUGAGGCUGACUGAUCUGUAGUUACACUUCUUAAAAAUGAGUGUUGUGUUUCCCCUUUCCAACUUACUGGGGACUUCCCCUGACUGUUGUAACUUAUCAAAUGUGAUGAAUAAUGGCUUAGCAACUUCAUCUGCCAGUUCCUUCAGAGACUUGGGAUGCAUCUUGUUGGAUCUUGUGGAGUUGUGCACAUCCAUGUUCCUCAGAUGAUCUUGAACCUGGUCUCCUCCUAUGGUGGGUUAUGCUUAAUUCCUUUGGUCUCUGCCUUGAGAUUCAGUGACUUGGGGAAGUGGGAUGUGUAGUAAAAGCAAUUGCUGGUGAAGACUGAGACAAAAAAAUGUGUUGAGUAUCUCAGGCUUUGCUAUGUCAGUUGUAUCCAAGUUGUUUCUCUCACUUAUUAGAAGGGAGUGCAAUUUAUUUUAUCAUCCUUUGCCAUUUUAUAUAUGUGGAAACCCUUGUUCUUCACAUCCCUAGCUAAGUUCAGCUGUCCCUUGACUUUCCUGAUUCCAUUCAGCCAGCCAAAGCAUAUCCUUAUAAUCUUCCUAGGCUGUAUGACCCUGCCUUCUUUGCCUACGCAUUUACUUUUUGUUUUGUUUUGCUUUAGCUUGGUUGAGGUCCUGACUCAGCCACACUGGUCUCCUGCCUUCAUUGCCUCAUCUUUUGCAUGUUGCAAUUAAAAGCUCUUGUGUUCUAAGAAAAGUAUCUCAAUAUCUGCCAGCUCUCUUCUGCUCCUUUAUCCGCUGGGGUACUCUCCCAGGGGGUCCUAUGCACUAGUCCCUUCAGCAGCUGAAAGUUUGCCUCCCAGAGAUCCUGGCUAUAUUUUUAGGCCAGACUAAAUUCCUCAAAAACAUGAAUUCUACUAGGACAUAAUCACUGCAGCCCAGGCUGCCUCCAGUCUUGAUUUCUUUAUUAAGUUCCUGUGCAUCAAUGAUCAGCAGAUCAGAUGACACCUAAAGUGCUCAUUUUUGUUGAUAGAUUUGCCACUAAGUCAAACCUUUGGAUCAUUUAAUUUGAAACUGAUAAAAAUGGAUCCCAAAUGUCAUUAUUUUUGGUUCCGGUAAUGUAUUUUAAAAAUAAUAACGACCAAAAAAUGGCUUUUCUAUUUUAAUGGGAUCUAAAAAGUAAAAAGUUUAAAAGGUAUUUAGAGUGUGAGGGGUCACUAAGAGUAACUAGGACAAUUUUAUUUUGUUAAUUAAGGUGAUAAAAGGAGCUUUCUUUCCCUACUAACAGCUGAAUUUUACAUUAGCUGUAUUUUCCUUUCAAAUGCUGAGCUUUCACAUGUAAAGAUGUUCUGAGAAGCCAUCUACUUCUUGUUCAGCUGAGAGAGACUGAAAAGAUAUGAAAGCAGAAUGUCUCUCAUUUUGCUGCAAGAUUUCAAACGUUGUUGAAUUUGAAGCUAUUUAAUUGGACAAGAAUUGAAAAAAGGUUGGAGUUUUGUUGUUUGCCUUUUUUUUUUUCUCUCCAAUGGCAAAGUUUGUAUCAUAUUGCAAGAUCGCAACUAGCCUUGUAUUUCUCCUUGAAGGAUCAUCUUAGUGGUGGUAUUCACCCCACAAAGUUCGUACAAGCAAUUUGAGUACUCAACAUUUUGAAGUUUUUUUAUAUCUCCUGGUUAAGAAAGAUUAAAUAGAGCUACUAAAAACAAAAUCUGUGGCACCUCUUUAAGAGUAAUAACUUCUAGGAAAGGUGUAUAAGGUCUGAAAAGUGAUUCUUGACAGCAUUAGGAUGGCGUGAGUUACUUAAUAGUUGAGUUGGUAUUUUUUUGUUCUUUGCUUCUCUGAAGUUGAUAAACUGUAAAACUAUAUUUGCCAAAAUUAUUGUAUUCCAGUCUAUCUUGCAGAGCCUUGAUGAAAAAGGGAAGUUUCAUUGAAUGUUACUACUGUUACUAUCUUGUAGAUGUUCAGCUACCAUGGAUUAGAGGAAGGAAAAGACUGAUACGCGCACUCUUAAACUUCAAGUGGUUGCUUGAUUGAUGUGCAGUUGAAGAUGACUGUAUUUCUCUUUUUAAGAAGUUUAAAAUGCAUUUGCAUAGAAACAGUGCAAUCUGUUCAGUAAUCUUAUUCUAUAGUUUGUCAUUUUUCUUUUAAAGUUAACUCCCUAAUGCUAGUUUUAAUUCUCUUCCUAUAAAAAUAAAUCACACUGAUUCCUUUAGACAAGGAACUAUUUUGUUCUUUACAGAUAAAGUCUUCUCAAGUAGUAUUUCAACCUGUUGAAAAUUCUAGCAGACACUAUGAAUUCGACCUAUAUACAAGCAAUAGUUAGAUAAUGUCCAAGGAAGAAUAGCUUGCUAGCUUAGAUUGAAAUCAGAUAAAACAUACGUUACAAAAUGUGAAUAAACCUUUCUUUUUCAGAUUUAAUGAAACUUAAUACAUAGAUUCUGAUUAAAUAUUCACUGAUUAAGAAGUAAGCAUCCAAAGCUAUUAGUAGUCCUAAGCAUUUUCCCAAAUGUUGUUUGUAUGUAAAAAACUAAAACAACAACAACAACAACAAGACAAAAAAAAAAAAAAAAAACUAGGAAGAGUCAGGUAGAUGUGUAAAUAUUUGUAAGUUUACAAUGUCUUGGAAAAAUUACAUGAUACAAACGAUAAUAUAUCCCUUAAGGCUCUUUUAAGUAGUAGGUGCUGCAGUACACAGAAGGCUCCAGGUAAAGAGUGAACCAGCUUGUCUGGAAGAAAUGUUUUGAACUGAGGUGUUAGUGUAAAAUCCAAGAGUUACAUUGCUUUGCUUUUGUUACUCCAGACUGAAUGCUGAUUAGCGGAUGCUCAAAUUUGUUACAUUUGCAGUUACCUCUAGUGUUCAAGUAUAUGACCAGUACAGAUACAGGAGGUGACAAGUUGUGAGUGAUGAGGUUGGUGGCCCCGCCUGUGGCAAGGGAGUUCGAACUUGAUGAUCCUUGGGGUCCCUUCCAACCCAAGCUAUGCUAUGAUUCUAUUAUUCUAAGACCCAGUUGUUUACCAGUGAGAUGUUGCCGUUGGCUUCACUGAAUCCAGAAUUUCAGACUCUUUGUCCAGUGUGUUUUCUCUUCAGCAGCAAUUAGAAAAGCAGACAAUAGAAGAUUAUCUGGUUCUAGUUUUAUUCUCAGAUUUCUACUCAUUAAAGCCUAAAGCCCUCUAAGAGGUAGAAUGUGUUUUCUAUUAUUUAAUUCAUGUUUCCCUAUGGAAGUAUUCAUGAGUAGGCAACUGUUAAAGGCUGUUGCAAGACUCUGAGAAUAGAAUUGGACGAAAUAUACAAUCUGUGAGAGUAGAUGUAUGAAAUAUUUGAAAAAACUGCAGGUGUUACACUUGUAUAAUCCUCUGCUAGAUAAUUCAUGGAGUAGAAGAAAGAAAGCAUGUUAAACACACUGAUCUUACCUUCUUUCUCUUUCCAAAUGAUCUUAUUUUCUAAGAUCUUUUCAGUGCAGCACGUAGAGAAGCCCCAUACUACAUGGUCACUGUUCUUUAUUUAGAAUCUAAUCCAUACACUUUUCUCCAUCUGCUUACUGCUUUUUUGACAGGUUAGGGCUUAUAUUUAAAUAGAUUUUUCAUCAAGCAAUUAAAAAAAAUGAAUGCACUAGGUUAAUAGUAUUUUCUUAUCUCAUUGUAGAAUGCACUGCCCAGUUCUUCUCAAUGAAUUUCCUUUUCCAACAAGUUCUUGCAUUUCUGUAUGACCAGAACAGAAAUAAAAAUGAAUGGCAUGAUUAAAAAAAAAAAAGUUUUUAUCCUAUAUAUAUAUAUAUGUAUAUAUAUAUUGACAUGAUAGUCUGGUUCCAUCAUGUUUGAGAAUAUAAGUAAGAUGACAUUUCUCACAACACAUAGCAGUAUAUGCUAUUAAACACAACUUGAAAAGUUAAGGUCACAACUUAAAGUGACUUCAGGAACUGUCCCAUGCAACACCUGCACAUCAUAGUGAAUGCCAAGAUCUUGUAUUUCCCUUCUUCUUCCCUUGCCUUGUCACUAGAAUAUUUAGUCUCUUUUUCAUAAUGAAGAAAUUUAAGAAAAAAUUUGUCUGUAUUUCACUUCUCCCAGCUUUGAGAAUUAAUUUGUUCUGAACAUCUCUGAUCUUGUGACAGGAAAGCACGUAUCAAUCCAAAAGGAGCAAAUAUAUGAAAGCAAUUGUCUAAACACUUCCACCAUUACAAUGUAAUUGUGUAAAAUAGUAAGACACAGGGAAGCGCUGCUAAAGAAAGGUUUUAAUUCACAAUCUGCUUUACCAACUGAUUGGCUUCAUUUUUGAAAGCCUUCUGUUGAAAAUUUUAUAUUUUAGAUGUGCUUCCCAAGACAGUUCACUGUUGUUCUUUUGUCUCGUUAACAUGUUUCAGAACUGGGACCUAUGAAAUGUCUUAAAAUAUAACUUUGUAAUUAUAUAUGUCAUCUUACAAUGAUUGACUAGUACUGACUUGAGGUACAUAUCAGAGAUACACAAUAGAACAAUUAGAAUUUGUUAUUGUUAACCUGCUGCUAUGUGUGUAUACACACACACGCACACACACAAAUCUAGGUCGCUCUGAAAGUUAUGCCUCCUGUUUAUUUCCAUGGAAACUACAAGAGAUACAAAGAGCACGACACUAUUUGAUGGAACAAAUUCUCAGCUACAAAACAGUUUUUCAACAUAGGCACCACCAUUAGUUCUGCAUUUUUGCCAGUGAUGAGUAAGAGCCUGCACCCUGUUCUGUGUACAGCACAUAUAACAAUUUGCACCAGUGGAGGUGACCUGCUGUUGACUGAAAAACACCACCCACCAACUCGCUGUGCUCACAUCCACUGUUUGGUUUCCAUCAACAUUCAGCAAGCAUCAAUAGAUGUCAGUGGGUGCAAUCUUUUCUUUAUGGAGGAAUUCAGUGACACUCCUUUCCUUCAUCCACACUCCAUGUCAAACACCGUUUUGUCAGACUGCCCCUCUGCUGCUGUCUGUCACACAGCAACAAAAUGUAGUGGAAUAUUGGUGGGAAGGUUCAACAUCUGCCAUACCAUGGACAUCUACCUCAUGGGCCAACAUCAUAAAAUAGGAGGCAUUACUUUUGGAGUAGCCAUCGUAUAUUUAUUCUGUAGAUUUCUGUUUCUAGGUCCUAUUUUCCAGAGAAGGGCCAGGAAUUAAAUUCUGCAACAUUUCAGAGUUCCGACCUGAAAUGCUAGUAGGUGGUUGCCUCAAAUAUACUGUCUGCUUAUCUUUGCCUUCCCACUUCUUAUGCAGUCUUCAUGCGUGGCUACUACUGGCAUCCUGCCAUCAUCACUGUUCCUAACCAAGGUGUUCUUAGGGCUCCUUCAGAAACCUUUUGAAUCCUUCUAAUUCCAUUCUCAAUUUCUAAAAAGCUUGAAAUAUGAAACUUCACGUAUUAUCCUUAGGCACACAAUCUCUACUGGAGUGACAAAAUACUUAUCCCAUUUAUAUUUCCACUCUCAUUUCUUUUCAUACAGUUGUACUGUAGAAUCAUAGAAUGGCUUAGGUUGGAAGAGACAUUAAAGUGAAUCCAGACCCAACCCCCUGCCUUGGGCAGGACUUCCACCAACCAGCUCAGGCUGCCCAGGGCCCCAUCCAGCCUGGCCGUGAGUGUCUCCUAGGAAUGGAGCAUCCACAUCUUCUCUCUGCAACUUGUUCCAGUGUCUCACCAUCCUCCGAGUAAAGAAUUUCUUCCUAACAUCUAACCUACAUCUCACUUUUUUAGUUUAAAGUCAUUCCUCAUUGUCCUAUCACCAUCAGACCACGUAAAACGUCAGUCCCCCUCCUGCUCAUAAGUUCCCUUUAAGUACUGAAAGGCCACAGUUAGGUCUCCCCAGAACUUCUCCUAGCUAAACAAACCCAUUUUUUUUCAGCAAAAGCUCUCUGCAGUGAGCAUUUCAAAGCUAAUUAUUAUAGUAUGAUUCCCAGUGUCUUCAGUCUGAAAGUGAAGAUAUUCUUUGGAGUUCUGAAGAAACAAUUUCUGUGUAUUCUUACUAUUCUUUUAUGCUUCUCCCACCUAUAUAAAACAGUGGUUUCCAGCCCAGGCACUGCAAACUGCAUUCUUGCUUCCCUAAUGAGGAAAGGUGCAGUACGUCCCCAGAAGAUUUACAGGUUAUGUGAAGAGCAGCUCCUCAGGGCAUGUGCAAUGUGCAAUAAAACAAGCAUGAGAAAAGAGCAAGCCUCUGUUGUCAGGCAACCUUAUCCAGGUUUUGAACCUCUUUGCAGCAAGUCCUUGAAUAUAGGAAGACUGGAAAGGCAGCUGAAUGACCCCUCACUGACCUUCAUCUUUAUGGGGAGCUUUCAGUUCAGCAGCUGGUUAUAAUUCCUUUCAUAAGGUGUGGCCAGCUCUAAGUCAUUCUUUGCGAUCACUUCUGAAACACUAAGAAGACCUCCAAACCAUGCUAAUAGUAGCAAGGUACACAGAUACUUGGAAUCACUAGGUCAUGCCUGGGACACAGGCAAGACGUGCUGUCCCUGUCACAUGUACCAUUUUCUGUCUCUUCUUUAAAAACAAAAAGAUAAACUCAAAAUAAGCAAAACAAAAACCAACUACUAUUCAUCUUUCAUUGCUUAAUUCCCUUCUGCAUUAAAUAGAGCCAAUUUAAUACCAUAGCAGUGAGGGGAGUUGUGUAUCCCCAAGCAGAAGUAAUUGGUAGGGUGAGGAUCUCUAUGCCAGUGUUAUUUAGUUUGUUGUUUUCAGGUGGUUGUCAAUCAUUCUUUGAUCACUGCAUUUCUAAAACAAAAAUGUUCUGGCUGCAUUGAAUGCAGUAUUUGAAAUUUGCUUUAUUUUCUUUUUAUUCUUUUACCUUUUAUCCUUUAAAUGUACAUCGGUUGAAUGUGCCUCUGAAAAAAUACCUUAAUUGUUCAGUAGUUAAUUUCUUCUCUUAGAAAUGAAGCUUUCUGUGUUUAUUUCCAUUACAAUAUAAUGGAGGAGGAUACAAAAAAUAAAAAAUAAAAAAAAAAAAAUCAAAAAUCAGCAGAACUGCAUAGGAAUAGAGAAUGCUUUUCUUUCAGGAUGGAGCAGUUAACUGCACUAUAUUUUAUUCUGCACUCUAAAAUUAUGAACACUUUCAUAAUCAAACCCAUGGAUCAUAACAAACUGUUAUACGAUAAAAUAUCAUGAGAUUUUUCUUUCAAGAGAUAGUCGUUUUGUGGAAUUAAAAUGGACCACUGUGGAAGCUCCUGUUGGAAAGAUGCAAAAGAGGACAUAUUCUGUAACGCUUUCUAAACAAGUGCCGAUUUUGUUAGUAAUGCAUCAGACAUGAGUUUUGAUGUUCUAUUCUUCAGUGUUCUAGCACUGAUUACAUGUGUAUUUGAAAGUGACCUACAGAUUUACUGUAGUUUUGAAGAACUGUGAAAUUAAAGGAUGCCUGGGGGAUAUUAAGUGCAGUUGCUGGGUUUUAUGUGUUCUCACAGUUGUGAUGUAGAGUUGAUGCCGAGCUUGCUCACAUAAGGCUGCUGUUGAGGGUUAGUACUAUUACACUCUGGUGCUUUGAUUUGCUUUGGGUUUUUGUUCAUUUCAAAUAUGUAAAGGCUUGGGUUAAAGCAGCUUUGCAAACCAUGGCAAUUCACGUGUAAUCCCGUGAACAGUUGACAGGAGUAUUGCAAACUGGGGAGAAGCAAUAAUUACAAACUGUGAUGUUUGUAAGAGCUAUGCUAAAGAGAAAGAAGUGAUUCUGAAAAGAAACAGUAAAUGCUGACUCCUAUUUUCUUUGCUUUAUGAGUAGGAUGUCUGUCUUAGUUUGGUGGAAGCCAUAAUGAGAAACAGCUGAAAUAGCUGCUAGGAAAAAGACUGGUUUGCUUUUAAAUACAGUAUAGUCACUGACUUCAGUUUCCUUGCUAAGGUUUGUAAGAUUCAUCAAAUCUACUUGUUCUUUUGAGCAAGGACAGAAUACUGAAAUCCAAGGAAAUGCUUAGUUUGAACUAUUUUUGGAAAAAAAAAACCAAGCAUUUAAACAAGCAUUAAGAAGUUACAGUAAAAACAUAGGAACAGAAAAUUUGCAGAUUUGGUAUGAAACAUCUUUGAGCAAGUGAGUAGCAUCUAUUCAAUAUUAAUUUUCUUUUUACACUUUCAAAAGAAGUUUUUUGCAAACAUUUAUUUUUGGAUCUUUGAAAAUGAAUUUGGUAUCUCUUCUUACUGGUGCUUGCAGGUGACAUUUCUUUUUUUUUUUUUUUCCCCCCCUGGAUUUUGCUUCAGCUUUAUUGAAUUGCUGUCCUGACAUUUGGCUGCUUGCUGCUCUGAAACCAGCAGAGGGUGCACAGAAUGUAUUCAGCUGUAGCUGUUUCUUCACAGUCCCUUGUGUUACUGCUACAUAGGAACCAGACAACUGCCCUCCUAGGCCCUAUUCAGGUAUCACCUGAACAUGAUUCUCAAAAUAGCUCACAGCUGUGCUUCAGUGCAUGGUUUUCAGUCCACCUAGGGGAAUUUCCUGACACUGUUGUCUGUAGGAUUCAGGACAGCGUGUCAGAUCCUAUGUGCUUGUUCUUUACAAGUCUGCUAAAAUGAACAGGCAUUACACAUUCAUAAUUUCAUGGAUCAGAACCUACUUUAAAAGAUGUUUUUUAUCACUGUGAUAUUUUAAGAGAAAGGUUUGUGGAAGUGGCUGUUGAGCUAUUUCUCUGCUUUUUUAACUGGCUGUAAUUGACCUGGCAGGGCUUUGCUGGGAGCUGCCACCUCUCUCCCCACUCUGACCAGUGAGCAGUGCCUACCAGCUCCCAGCUCUUACCUGUCACAUUGCAAAGUAGUUCAAGGACUAAGACAAGAUACAUUAUCAUUUAUGAGAUACGUUAAUUCAAUAUAGUUGCAUACUACUGCUUUGAGAGAGUUUCCAUACCACAGAACAGUAUUUUUAUCCUCUUUCUUUUUCUGGAUUUAGGUUUACCUCUAUGUCUAGAUAUCAGUGUUUCUAAUGCUUGACUGUUAGAACAGUCGCAUAUGAAUUAGCCUACUAUAAAACACUGAAAAACUAUUUAGCUUUAUUUCACGUUAAUGUAUUUCUACUUCGUAAUUUCUUCUAUUAGUCAUUUUUUUUUCCAAAGCAUCUUAUUUUUCCAGCAUCUUGUUGGAAUCAAGUUCAUUGUAUCAACCAAAACUUGUUUUCUUCUUAUUUCUAACAGGCCAAGCUCCAUUCUAGAUGUAUUAAAAAUUAAUUAAGUUUCUUACUUAGGAUCUCAAAACUUUAAAAAAAAAGAAAAAAAAAGUCUUUCAUCAUACCUGUAGUGGAAAUGCUAAUUCAGGGCUUGAAGCAGUGAUUGAGCACCUGAUGGGAAGGCAGGGCCAACCCAGGGGAACUCAGGUGUAUGCAGUGCACCUGAAUAACUGGAAGGGGUGGAGCCAGGAUCCACCCCUUCCCAGACCUCAUUUAAGGGCUGGCAGUGGAGGUGAGGGUUUCUUGUUGGAGAUCCUUGUGUAUGUGAGGCCUUCUAAGGGCAAGAUGAAGGAAGUUCUGGCAGCUUACCAUGCCCCUGGCUCUGCAGAGUUAAGCGAGACGUGCGCCCAUGUUCUAGCAUGCAUCACAUCGCCUCUCGGGUCUGAAGUGCCAGAAGGAUCCCAGCGCUGCAGACUGAGACGGCUCUGAGCACCUCAGUACCCCGUUUCUGACAGAACCCAGGGAUGGCAAACUUACAUACCAGUAUUACCUGUCUGGCGCAGGUUUAAUUUUAUAAAUUAAAACCAUAAACUCUAUGAGUUUCUAGACCAUAUUUGUGCUGUUGAGGAUGAUCUACUCAGAUGAACAGUUUUGCAUCCAUCGGAGAGAAAGGUUCUUCUGCUGGACCAGAAGGCAACAUUAUUGUAACUAAUACCAUUUGUAGCAUCUCCUAGUGCAAAUAAUUGAAGAACAGGUUGCAAGAAAAUCCUCUAGGGAAUAAGACAUGCUUUGUUUUGGUCUUCAGAUUUUAAAAAAAUGUUGUUUUUUUAAAGGUAACCACUUUUACAUAACACUAUGUGUGCAGUCUAUGUGCAGCUCUUCACUGUGACUAUCUAUAUUCCAGAGAUUUUUAAUUACUUGUCAGGCACCUGAACCUUUUUUAGAUUUGUGAUGGAUCCUUAAAUUAUGUAUCCUUAAGUAUCAUGGAAAACUAGAAAGGAAAAGUUUCAGGGCUUUUAUUUGACUAAAUGUCUCCACUUAGUCCCUGUUAGUGUCUUGAAUGGUGGAGGAAAGGGUGGGAAGUAGGAAAACAAUACAAGAAAAAAACAACAAUACAUUGUGGGCUUGGUGUUCGGUUUGGCAUAUCAGAAUAUGUUUGAUCAAAUAACUAAGGAGAGAGAAACAGCUAACUUACCUGAGCCCUCACAUGAAAGGUCAGUAUUUUGGGGGGCAGUAUUUGCUAAUUUUGUCUCCAAAAUAGCUAUAGAAAAGAGGGAAUAUAUAUUAAGCCCCAACAUGUGUGAAAAGGACAUACUUGCCAUUCCUCUAUUUAUUUUUGCUCUUUCAAAAAUCAAAGUGCCAGUUAUUUGGAAUGCUGUAGUCUGUGGUCUCUUUAAAUUUGUUUGGUGAGAUCCUUUCAGCAAGAUCAUUCCCAUUACGGUGUAACUGCAUGGUGACCACAGCUUUGGGCCUGUAUAAUAAAGAUCUGAAUUCAAA
Molecule: RNA transcript, 18682 nt
Organism: Gallus gallus (chicken)
Lineage: Eukaryota; Metazoa; Chordata; Aves; Galliformes; Phasianidae
Gene: SCAF8
Gene name: SR-related CTD associated factor 8
Exons: 23
Source: RefSeq, a predicted model, not a curated record